Molecule: long non-coding RNA, 3433 nt
Filed under: Daphnia pulex (common water flea)
Lineage: Eukaryota; Metazoa; Arthropoda; Branchiopoda; Diplostraca; Daphniidae
Description: uncharacterized LOC124208830, transcript variant X5
Source: RNAcentral
AGUUACUGAGCUACUUUAAUUUUGUUACUGAUUGAUUAUGCUGGUGGCCUGGUGCUGCAUUAACAUUCGAAAAAACUUCAAUAUGUUUUAUUGUCGUCUGCACGUCUGUCACGCGGCUGUAAUUCGGUGUUGGUGUGUAAUGGUGUUGGACUGAUUAGGAGGACCAAUAAAUAUAGAAGGCAUCACCUGUUUACAUCACUAUGUACACACAAAUUUCAAAGCAGGGCAAUGAACCUGCCCAACUCGUCAAGGACUGCUGUUCAUAUUUCAGUUUUAUUCAAUCCCAAUCCCAGGUCAAAUUAUUUCACUACAUUUAUCGUCAUCACCCUUUCAUUAUCAUUACCUUACUGCGGAGCUAAAACUAUAUUUUUGUAUUUCUGAACAUCAUCUCAGAUUUACCCUUUCUAAACGAUCAACAGCGAGGCAAUGAUACCAGGCUCAGCUGAUCAGGCUCGGUUCCAUCUUUUGAGCUUAGUCGAUCGUUUUAUCUGUGAUCGGCAGGAAAUGCUUUUGUAGAAGAUUUAUUUGCACUUGACUUCAUCCCCUAAUCUGUUUUCUAAUAAGAUGACGUGGAAUCGAGUAAUCCUUGAGCGAAGAUCUUGUAGUUUGGCAGCCAUCGUCGCUUCCGCCUCAAUUAUAAGAAAUCCUUGCCGAUUUCUUUGGAGAAAAACCGAAGUUUGAGGUUCUGUCUUAUUAGUCCUAUUCAUGCAACCCUGCCCACUCCUCUACAAUUACUGCUAAAUUAUUCAAAAUGGUGGCCGCCUGUCGCGUCGUUACCUGUAGCUUUAGUGAUGUUCUCGGGUCUGUGGUCACAUUCUAGGCUUUUUGAUAUAUUUUCAGAUAUCUGCAGCUGACUGUUUUCCCGGAGUGCUCUUUGUCAAUAGAGAUGAAAUAUGGUUCAGUCCAAUGAAUGUGUGGUUCUAUCCAUGAAAAUGAAUCCAUUCCAUGAAUGUCUGAUGAUAAAGAGAUAUCCAUCAUGGUCAGAAUGUUCCUACCUCAGAAGUGGAGAAGUGCUGGGAUUUGGUGCAAACCGGAAUACUCCACAAUCGAGAUUUCUUUCAGGUUCUGUCAGCCAGGUUAAUUUGAAGCUGUUUCCAUCCAAAUCAGAACAUUUCGACUUGCUGCAUGCCAAGUGCCUAAAUUGGGAAGCUUCUUGAACAUUUACAACAAUAAGUUGAUGUUGCUUUAUAUCUAAUUUGUUUCAUAGGUUCUUUCCGCUGUUGGUUGAUGUUUGAAGUUAAAGCUAAAAUUGCUAACGGUGUUACAGUACCGUUGUGUACCGAGUUGCAGAUAUAUUAAUCUAAUGUGCUGAUGCUGUUGCCCAUCGUCUCCCCUGGUUUAAGGAGUACUUGAACAAAAUCGAAUUUACGCCAGUGGUUAUUUUCCCAUUGUUUUUAUUUCUAGUAUACUCUUUAAGUGUGUUCUUUAUUUGUUACUAUGUAUGUGGUUUGAGUUUAGAAAGCUGUUAGUUUUGUUUUGUGUUUUGUUGCUUUUUUUCGCGUCUUCUCGCCAGAAUUUGCUUGGUCUUAGGUCUAAUUGGAAUGGAAAGUGAUUGUGACAUGCUGAUUUGACAGAGGGGCCGUUUACAUAUGCCAUCACAGGGAGGGGAGGUGUCUAGAUGUGCUGUCAGUCAGUAACAGAAUUCUUAAUGGUAAAAACAUUUUUAAAAACAUCAUACAGAGAGUGUACAUACAUAAUAUCACGGUUUGAUGGUGGGAAGGGGGUUUAAACAUCUGGGCCGACUUGUAAUUAGAGGGUAUAUUUAUCACCACUUAACUAAAUAGGUUGGUAAUUUUUCUAAGAUUUCUGUAAUAUUAAUUGUAUUAUUAUCUGUAAAUUUAAUCAAUCUCAGGUUGUCGUAAAUUAGUACUCAAAUGGUGGUCACCACAACCUCUUGAAUGGUGGCAUUGUCUUCCAAUUGUCCAAAAAUAGAUAACAGCAAAGAAUUGGAUCUGGGGAAGGCAGCAAUAUCUUGGAGAUGUACUACAAUGUGACAGCAAAAAGUUAACCUGAAAUGAGAUACAUAUAAAAUGCAACAGUAGUUUGUUUAAAUGCUGGACCCUUGAAAAUAGAAACUAUUUACCUUUGGAAGACAAAGCUUUCAUUACUGGAUUGUACCAUUUGAUCUCUGUUGUCACAAGCACCAAUGUCACAACAGAAAACAUUUAGUCCAGAAGUAGAAUCAUUAAUUGCUGUGUUUUUUAUAAACGGUUAAACAAACCUCAAUAUCCGAAUCUGAAUUUAUCUUGUUUGAUUUUUUGAAGUAACUUGUGAAUUGUGAUGUGUACUGUGUAAUUUAGUAGCAGACGAAGUUUCCCAACCAGAUUCUAUUUAGUAGGGCAUUUAGCCCAGACGAAGCUUGUUUACUUCCGGUUUCUAAAUAGUUCUCUAAUUGUAAUUAUCUAUCUGACAACGAAAAGAAUCUGAUUUUUGUGAUCCUCAUUCCCCAACAUGUUUAAGGAAGUAUUGGUUUUGUGGGAAGCUUUCCAUUGAAUGGCUGAUAGAACCGAACCAAUUGAUUCUUCAAAUUCGUAUACAGUGCAAAAACUCAUUACUAGAUGUCGCAUUGUCGCCAUUGUUGUUCCUGCAUCAUGAAACAUGGCAAAAUAAAUUGUUGCUAAUUUACACGUAUUUUUCUGUAAUUUCAAAUACCGAAUUUAACUUCGUGUUAUAUAUGCAUACUGUCAGUCACUCCAAAAAGUUUACUUAGUCACCUUCCAUCCAUUAGCUCCUUGUGCUGUCAAAAGCCUAAAACUCAUAUUUGAAGCAUAUGGUGGAAUUAGACAAUGUGCAGAGAUAAGGUAUUCUUGCUCGUGAACCAUAGGAUAUUUUCUGAAUCUUGCAAUUUUGGUUGUGUAACCUGUGGCAGCACGUUUGUUGUUAUGGCUGUUUCUACACUCGUUUAGAAGGCAACCCAGCUGUGAGAUAGAGUUUCAGCUUCAGUGACAUGAAGAGUUUGAAGUGAAUACCUGCAAUGUGCGUGUACUGAUCUGUGUGAAAAAAGUCAGCCUUACUGAAUUUGUCAGCCCCAAUGAUGAAAGAAAUUGAUUUCAACCAGAGGAGUAAUGCUGUUGGUACAUCAUUGUGAAUUCCAUUUUUACGGUUUUUUCAUCAUGAACAGUGUGCUCGUAGAAAAGAUGACGCAGGAUAUCUGUAGCUUGUUCUGGCCUUCGUUAAAUAACGAUUAAAUGUAGGAGGGACCUCGGGAGGGACUUCCACCAACGUUCUUCUCCAUCCUUUUCUUCCCAACGUCCGCUCAUCUAGCUUCACUGCUUCGUACUUCCUUACAUCAUUGACGAGUUUGAUCACUUCAGUGUUCGCUUCCUCCCGCUGUGACACACUUGUCAUCAUUCACCACGGGAUUAUGCCCAGCUAAUGCAGAAGAGACGUCGAGAAGAUGGACACCAAAACGUCGCCGGUAUCUCCAAUUGUC